UUGUUCCUUCUCCACUCCCACUGCUUCACU
Molecule: non-coding RNA, 30 nt
Filed under: Cricetulus griseus (Chinese hamster)
Lineage: Eukaryota; Metazoa; Chordata; Mammalia; Rodentia; Cricetidae
Source: RNAcentral